Molecule: ribosomal RNA, 238 nt
Filed under: uncultured bacterium
Lineage: Bacteria
Description: partial 16S ribosomal RNA
Rfam family: Bacterial small subunit ribosomal RNA
Source: RNAcentral
GAUCCUGACUCAGGAUGAACGCUAGCUACAGGCUUAACACAUGCAAGUCGAGGGGCAGCAUUUUAGUUUGCUUGCAAACUAAAGAUGGCGACCGGCGCACGGGUGAGUAACACGUAUCCAACCUGCCGAUAACUCAGGGAUAGCCUUUCGAAAGAAAGAUUAAUACCUGAUGGCAUAGGAUUAUCGCAUGAUAAUCCUAUUAAAGAAUUUCGGUUAUCGAUGGGGAUGCGUUCAUAGG